GCUGCGGUGUCCAAGCGUUUAAGAAGUUGGACCCGCACAGGUUCGAAUCCUGUCCGCAGCC
RNAcentral lists this transfer RNA (61 nucleotides) under Dryococelus australis. RNAcentral's name for it is "tRNA-OTHER". It matches the Rfam family "tRNA". From Rfam's summary of the family: Transfer RNA (tRNA) molecules are approximately 80 nucleotides in length. Their secondary structure includes four short double-helical elements and three loops (D, anti-codon, and T loops). Further hydrogen bonds mediate the characteristic L-shaped molecular structure. tRNAs have two regions of fundamental functional importance: the anti-codon, which is responsible for specific mRNA codon recognition, and the 3' end, to which the tRNAs corresponding amino acid is attached (by aminoacyl-tRNA synthetases). tRNAs cope with the degeneracy of the genetic code in two manners: having more than one tRNA (with a specific anti-codon) for a particular amino acid; and 'wobble' base-pairing, i.e. permitting non-standard base-pairing at the 3rd anti-codon position. The record is from RNAcentral. Lineage: Eukaryota; Metazoa; Arthropoda; Insecta; Phasmatodea; Phasmatidae.